GCCUCACACGUCAUACUUCAACUGACACAACGGUCUCGAUGGGUAAGAUUUCGUUACCAUAUACAGUAAAUAUUGGUUCAAGAGGGCAGUUUGAUAACUCAGUCGAGGUUUGUAAAUGGGGUUUCUGUUCCUGCAGUCUUUCAGGGGUGCUGGCGCGUAUGACGAUGCGGACAUGAACAGCAUACUACAGUAUACCGCCACCUACUGUACUGUAGUACAAUAACGUCUUUUAAACAUCUAAACAUGUCCUCCAAAAAGGUUUCCUGUGCUGUUUUGCUCCAUUUUACUGAACAAAAUAAGGCUGAGGUAGCACCAUCCUUGUGGUUAGAGUGAAAGAAUGUGGGUAUUGAGACCAAAAUAAACAAUGUGCCAUUCUGGACAAACAGCUGUGGACAAUAUGCAGUCAGAGUAGCCCAUUUUCUCACACAGACCUGAGGAUAAGAUUUCCAGUUUGAAAGUGAAGAAAAUGAAUCAUUAUUAACAGCAAAUAGGAGUAUUUCUCAGCUGAAAAGCCAGGUGAAACUAUAAGGUCACUAUGAUUCACUUUCAUAUUAUCAUUCUUUUCAGAUUUUUUUCCCUGUGUUUUUUUUGUUAGAUGAGGAGCAACCACUAAGAAAAAGCAAAAAGAUGUUUUGAUGUUGCCUGAGGCACCUUAUUCACAUCAAUCAAUUUCUUCCAACCAGCGAAUCAAGAAAUCUUGGAGUGGAGAAUCAUUUUGAAAGUAGACCAAAUCCAGGACAACAUCACAACAGUGGUCGGAAAAAUGCAGCAAGCCAAGCUGACUUUCAAAAGAUGAUUCGUUAUCUGUUUCUUCAGAGGGGAGGCAGUUUGGGAGAUGGGAAUUAGGAGGAUGCUACAGUUACACAGGGCAAAUUUCAGCAGCUCAGUUUCAAACUUGCAACUAACAUUGAGUUAUAGUUAGAAGACCACGGAAAUAUUUGACAUCGGAGUCCAGCAGACAGCCAGAGACACGCACACACACGCAGCUGAAGCGCGUUUGACUGACGCGUACGGGAGAUCCGGCACGCGCACGGGAGCUCGCGCACGCUCACACAAACACGGAGCACAGGAUAAUUACAACUGUUUAAUUAAAAUAAAAGAACUUUGUGGUAUACAAUGUUUAGCGUGUCUGAUUUCAUUGGUUAGCAAGGAAAUAAAACGACGUGCUGAGGACUUUAGGCGAACGUCCCCUAAAAGUCCCGAAAGUCCGCUGACCGUCCCGCGAACGUCCUCGCAAAAGUCCGGAGGACGUCCUCGCGGAAGUCCGCUCGACGUAACGGGAACCAUACACGAUGACGUUCGGGGGACGUUCGCCUAAAGUGCUUAGCAUGUUAUUUAGCUUACAAAAAAGG
Molecule: non-coding RNA, 1352 nt
Organism: Paramisgurnus dabryanus
Lineage: Eukaryota; Metazoa; Chordata; Actinopteri; Cypriniformes; Cobitidae
Source: RefSeq, a predicted model, not a curated record